Molecule: unclassified non-coding RNA, 336 nt
Filed under: rhizosphere metagenome
Description: partial ribosomal RNA internal transcribed spacer region
Source: RNAcentral
GUAGGUGAACCUGCGGAAGGAUCAUUUCUGAAUUUUGGGUUUUGGUUUGGUUGGCUGUUUUUUUUCACUUCGUGUAAAAAAAUGGUCCCAGCUGAAAUCUAAAUUAAAGAGAGUGUGUGGUAUAUAUGAAGCAAGUAGGGGACUUCCUUUACUGGUUGUUCCCUAUUUCUUUUUUCCAUUAACAACCAAAACCAAGGUUACUAUUACAAUUUAAAAACAAUUGGAUCCGACUUGAGGGUUAUUUUAUUUUUCUUGUAUAAAGAGAGAAAAAAUACCCAAGGGAAGGUGAAAGCCAAAUAAAGAUUACAACUGUCAACGGUGGAUCUCUUGGCUCGU